AUGGAUCGGUCCCUGCAGGAGAGAGAAGAUGGGAGAGAGGGAGAGAAGGAAGGAGAGGAGGGAGGCCCGGCGGCGGACGGGAGAGGGUCACCGACCGGCGCUGGCGAGGUCAGGUGCGACCUGGUGGUUGGUGGCGGCUCGAUCCACUCCUGGAUCCUUCUUCUUCCACUUCCCCACUGCCUAACACCUAGGAAGAGGGCUGGCCGAGGAAGAGGGCGAGGACGCGGGGAUUGA
Molecule: ribosomal RNA, 234 nt
Filed under: Triticum aestivum (bread wheat)
Lineage: Eukaryota; Viridiplantae; Streptophyta; Magnoliopsida; Poales; Poaceae
Description: partial small subunit ribosomal RNA
Source: RNAcentral